GUAGGUGAACCUGCGGAAGGAUCAUUACAGAGAAAUUGCCCCUUGGGGUAGAUCUCCCACCCUUUGUUUAUAAUUACCUUUGUUGCUUUGGCAGGCCCGUCUUUUGACCACUGGCUUAGGCUGGCUGGUCUGCGCCUGCCAGAGGACCUCUAAACUCUUGAUUUUUGUGUUGUCUGAGUAAUAUAACAAAUAACUGAAAACUUUC
RNAcentral lists this unclassified non-coding RNA (205 nucleotides) under plant metagenome. RNAcentral's name for it is "partial contains small subunit ribosomal RNA, internal transcribed spacer 1, and 5.8S ribosomal RNA". The record is from RNAcentral.